This is a long non-coding RNA of Cercocebus atys (sooty mangabey), 101 nucleotides long. RefSeq lists it as uncharacterized. The transcript has 4 exons. Lineage: Eukaryota; Metazoa; Chordata; Mammalia; Primates; Cercopithecidae. The record is from RefSeq and is a predicted model, not a curated record.
UUAGCAAAUGGAUCAGGAAGUCCUCAGUUAGUAGCAACAGGGAUGAGGUAGGAAGUGAGCAGAAGCCUCAGAGACAACAGUGAUUGGCGGCAACAGCGAGA